UAGUGGCGANNGGGUGAGUAACACGUGGGCAAUCUGCCCUUCACUCUGGGACAACNCCCUGGAAACGGGGUCUAAUACCGGAUAAUACCUGCCUGGGCAUCUGGGUGGGUUGAAAGCUCCGGCGGUGAAGGAUGAGCCCGCGGCCUAUCAGCUUGUUGGUGAGGUAGUGGCUCACCAAGGCGACGACGGGUAGCCGGCCUGAGAGGGCGACCGGCCACACUGGGACUGAGACACGGCCCAGACUCCUACGGGAGGCAGCAGUGGGGAAUAUUGCACAAUGGGCGAAAGCCUGAUGCAGCGACGCCGCGUGAGGGAUGACGGCCUUCGGGUUGUAAACCUCUUUCAGCAGGGAAGAAGCGAGAGUGACGGUACCUGCAGAAGAAGCGCCGGCUAACUACGUGCCAGCAGCCGCGGUAAUACGUAGGGCGCAAGCGUUGUCCGGAAUUAUUGGGCGUAAAGAGCUCGUAGGCGGCUUGUCACGUCGGGUGUGAAAGCCCGGGGCUUAACCCCGGGUCUGCAUUCGAUACGGGCUAGCUAGAGUGUGGUAGGGGAGAUCGGAAUUCCU
This 565-nucleotide ribosomal RNA is filed under the name Streptomyces sp. 331H02. RNAcentral describes it as "bacterial SSU rRNA". It matches the Rfam family "Bacterial small subunit ribosomal RNA", at positions 93 to 671 of the family's 1533-position model. Lineage: Bacteria; Bacillati; Actinomycetota; Actinomycetes; Kitasatosporales; Streptomycetaceae. The record is from RNAcentral.